GAGUUUGAUCCUGGCUCAGGACUAACGCUGGCGGCGUGCCUAACACAUGCAAGUCGAGCGGGGUAGCAAUACCCAGCGGGCAGACGGGUGAGUAACGCGUAAAUAACGUGCCCCUUUGUUUGGGAUAGCUGGCCGAAAGGCCAGGUAAUACCGGAUGUGGUUCUCGAGAGACAUCUCUUGGGAAAGAAAGCAGCAAUGCGCAAGGGGGAUCGGUUUGCGACCUAUCAGCUAGUUGGCGAGGUAACGGCUCACCAAGGCUUCGACGGGUAGCCGGUCUGAGAGGAUGAUCCGCCACACUGGGACUGAGACACGGCCCAGACUCCUACGGGAGGCAGCAGUGGGGAAUUUUGGACAAUGGACGAAAGUCUGAUCCAGCCAUGCCGCGUGAGUGAAGAAGGCCUUCGGUU
This 407-nucleotide ribosomal RNA is filed under the name uncultured beta proteobacterium. RNAcentral describes it as "bacterial SSU rRNA". It matches the Rfam family "Bacterial small subunit ribosomal RNA", at positions 9 to 423 of the family's 1533-position model. Lineage: Bacteria; Pseudomonadati; Pseudomonadota; Betaproteobacteria. The record is from RNAcentral.